RNAcentral lists this long non-coding RNA (434 nucleotides) under Marmota monax (woodchuck). Lineage: Eukaryota; Metazoa; Chordata; Mammalia; Rodentia; Sciuridae. The record is from RNAcentral.
GAGAUUCCUUAUUGGUUGACUGAUGUAUCUAGUUUAUGUUAAUUAGAUAAGCUGUGUGGAAUGUAUAAAUACUGCUCCUGUCCUGCAAUAAACGGCUUCCACUCCUGCUGAAUCAACGUACACAAGUUGUUUGUCGCCCUCCCCCCUCCCCCGGUUAUUUUGCUGCAGCCGGACUGCGGCAUAAGCCAAGGAGUGGGAUAGCUGGGUCAAAUGGUAGUUCCAGUCCCAAUUUUCUGAGGAAUCUCAGGAAGGGGAGGGGAUGUGGGGAUAGGAAAGAUAGUACCAUGAAAGAGACAUUAUUACUAUAUGUAUAUAUGUGCCUACAUGACCAAUAUGAUUCUGCAACAUGUACACUCAGAAAAAUGAGAAAUUAUAUCCUAUCUAUGUAUGAUAUAUCAAAGUGCAUAAAUGCAUUCUACUGUCAUGUAUAACUA